CAGGGAAAUGGGAGCUCUUUGCCUGCACAGGGCAGGCUCCGGAGGAGUGGCCGUGGGUUUUGCUGACUUCCCUGGGCUAAGAACAUGCUGGCGACUGCAUCAAUGGUACAGAAAACAGGGCUGGAAUUGGCCCUGGGUGCAGGGGGGAACUCUUGGGUGCUGCCACUGCAAGUAACGUCAGCAGCUGAGGCACCUCAUCGCAGGCCUGUGAAGGAGAGGCCAGAAGGUUAGACUUGACUUUCACAUUAGCCCUUAGCGGAGAUGCUUGUCUUAGCUGGAGGAGAACCAAGGAGACCGAGGCACAGUGAGAAGGCGCAGAGGCCUUCUCUGUCCAAGGGGAUUGUAAGUGUGGAAGGCUUCUGUUGCAAGAGCAGUAAUUCACUGAGGUCAUGGUAUGGACAAUGUCUCUGCUUCACACCUGAUCUGUGCAGUUCCUGGGUUUUCGUUUCUGUUCUGCUGAGAGGUCAUGCCCAGAAGAGAUGGGGAAAUGAGUCCUCGUAACCUGUAACAGGGCAUGUGUUUGGGGACUCCCUUACACCUGGGGACUGCUUGACGGCCAAAGAUGACAGGAUCAAGAUGCCCUUACAGAAGGCAGGGACAGUUUUCCCUGGUGUUUCAGGCUGUGCUUGGUGGAGAGGAUGCACACCCAUGCCACCAGUAUCAAACCUCUUGUGACUGCUCCUGUGAUGCUCUGGGUGCGAAGCAGAGAGAAGUGAUGUCUGAUGUUGCGGAGCUCAGAUUUGGGCCGAAGCAUCUCCUUUUUCCAGCAGAAGAAGGUAACAUGUCCCAGUGCUGAGUCUUGAAGAGGAUGGGAUGAGAUGAGAUGGUGGCAGCGGUUCAUAGUGUUGGGUUGAAUCUGGGGACUGCGGGAUGCCGUGGGGACAGCCUGGCUUGGCUGUCACCCACCACCCAUGCCCUACCGUGCCAACGACCCCCUGAAUGUACCAUGGUUGUGUAUUGAGGGGCUGCCCAGGUCUCAUAUCUUAUUUGAC
Molecule: long non-coding RNA, 992 nt
Organism: Egretta garzetta (little egret)
Lineage: Eukaryota; Metazoa; Chordata; Aves; Pelecaniformes; Ardeidae
Exons: 4
Source: RefSeq, a predicted model, not a curated record